RNAcentral lists this unclassified non-coding RNA (701 nucleotides) under Hevea brasiliensis (rubber tree). The record is from RNAcentral. Lineage: Eukaryota; Viridiplantae; Streptophyta; Magnoliopsida; Malpighiales; Euphorbiaceae.
GGUGCAGAAGUCAAAGAAUCGUACACAUGCAAACCAUCAGUCUGUCAUUAAAUAGUGCACUGAAAUUAUCAUUCUCAAACUUAAACCAAUCGGAUUCGCCAUCAGGAAGAAGAUGAAGAGCAAAGGUAGAUUAGUGGGACAAAGAUGGCGGAGCAUAGGGGGCUUACCUUCAAUAUUUCUGCUAUGUCUUUUCUUGUUCUUCGCCGGUUUAUUCGGUUCUACUCUCGUUUCUCAUCAGGAUGUACAACUACUUACUGUACGGCCUAGGUCAAGGGUGCUUAAAUCUGUGGAAGAAUUUGAUGUUUUGCCUAAUGGCGACACUGGAGAACACUCCCUUACUUCCAUCCCCUUCCAGGUCUUAAGCUGGUUCCCACGUGCAUUAUACUUUCCCAAUUUCGCAACUACAGAACAAUGCCAAGGCAUAAUUAAGAUGGCAAAGGCAGAACUGAAACCAUCAUCUUUGGCUCUCCGCAAAGGAGAAACAGCAGAAAAUACCAAAGGAGUUAGAACAAGUUCUGGUAUGUUUAUCAGUGCAUCUGAAGACAAAACUGGAAUUCUGGACCUCAUUGAGGAGAAAAUCGCAAAGGCGACUAUGAUCCCCAGGACACACGGAGAGGCAUUUAAUGUUUUGCGGUACGAAAUAGGCCAGAGUUAUUAUUCACAUUAUGAUGCGUUUGAUCCUUCUCAAUAUGGUCCUCAGA